Molecule: ribosomal RNA, 441 nt
Filed under: uncultured bacterium
Lineage: Bacteria
Description: partial 16S ribosomal RNA
Rfam family: Bacterial small subunit ribosomal RNA
Source: RNAcentral
CUACGGGCCGCUGCAGUCGAGGAUCUUCGUCAAUGGGCGAAAGCCUGAACGAGCGACGCCGCGUGCGCGAUGAAGGCCUUCGGGUUGUAAAGCGCGAAAGUGGGGAGAAAGGGAAACUUGAUCGAUCCACAGUAAGGACGGGCUAAGUUCGUGCCAGCAGCCGCGGUAAGACGAACUGUCCUAACGUUGUUCGGAAUCACUGGGCUUAAAGGGCGCGUAGGCGGUCCGACAAGUCAGGGGUGAAAUCCUGCAGCUUAACUGCAGAAGUGCCUUUGAUACUGUUGGUCUUGAGGGAGAUAGGGGUGUGCGGAACUCACAGUGGAGCGGUGAAAUGCGUUGAUAUUGUGAGGAACGCCGGAGGCGAAAGCGGCGCACUGGAUCUCUUCUGACGCUGAGGCGCGAAAGCUAGGGGAGCAAACGGGAUUAGAUACCCUAGUAGUC